Long non-coding RNA from Salvelinus namaycush (lake trout), 1338 nucleotides. RefSeq lists it as uncharacterized. NCBI's taxonomy places the organism in Eukaryota, Metazoa, Chordata, Actinopteri, Salmoniformes, Salmonidae. The record is from RefSeq and is a predicted model, not a curated record. The transcript has 3 exons.
AGAAAUUACACAGGAGACAAAUCGACUCAAUAGUCCAUAUUGAGAAUGAAGACCAUUAUAGGUCUGCAGCUGACAUGGUUGUGGUACUGCCCGUCUGGGGCACUGGGCCAGUCAGACAGUGAACAUGAAGGUGGAGUGGUUGUCAAUAAGCAACAGCUUGACAAAGCUAACACACCAUCCGCCUUCCACACCAUGCUGAUAGAGAUGAAGUUAGAGCAGAAAGUUGAGCUUGCUCAAAUCAAGACCAAGCUGGAAUCAAUGGAGACCAGACUGAGUGCCAGUAAGGUCCAGGAAGAGGAGCUGAGCACCAGACUGAGAAAUACAGAAAACCAGCUUGAUGAAUGAAGGAAAAUUAAUCAAGAAAGACCAAGAGUGGCAUUCUCAGCUGCACUGACAGAUAGUUCCGGAAGAAACAAAGGACCGUUCAACACAGAAACUACUUUGGUCUACGGGAAGGUCAUCACCAAUAUUGGCAACGCCUACAACCCCACAACCGGUAUGUUCACAGCAACAGUGAGAGGACUCUACCACUUCACCUUCUAUUGCCAUACAUAUGGAGCCAAUAAAGCAUUUCUGUUAAUGUAUAAGAACGGAGACAUAGUUGUUGGUACGGCAGAUCACAUAACAUCUAGUGAUGGUGCAGAUAAUGGAUCUAACGGGGCGGUACUGAUGCUUGAGGAGGGAGAUCAGGUUUAUGUGCGCCUUGAAGCCAACUCAUGGAUCUGGGUCGAAAAUUACCGCAACCUCAGCACCUUCACUGGCAUUCUGCUAUUUGCCCAGUGACACCUCAGAACACGUGAAUAAGGAGAGAUUUGAAAUAAUGAAAAAAUGGCUUAAUGUAUUGUAGAGGGCAUCACUGGUGUAAAUAACGACAAUGCUGUUUAUCACACUCUUAAGCGAAAAAAUGUAAUCGAGUUAAUCACAAAUUCAGAAUUUGCUCAAAUUCAGCUGUAAUUGAAGAUUUUUUUGACAAACUUUAUAUUGAUUAUAUAGUGGCCAGUAGUGGUCUAAUGAAAAACAAACCAUUCAGCAGUAACAGAUAAAGCCUAUUUGACCUAGAUAGUUUCUGUGUAUGCAUUGUUCUGUCCUUGAGCUUUUCUUGUCAAUUGAUGUUCUGUAUUAUGUCAUGUUUUGUGUGGACCCCAGAAAGAGUAGCUGCUGCUUUUACAACAGCUAAUGGGGAUCCUUCAUAAAAUCCCCCUCCCCACCGAAAAAUACCAAAGCAUUACAGAUUUAACACUGUACUGAUAUUAACCAAUUAUUAAAACGUUUGUUAACCAUUAGUAAAUGUUGUUAAGCAUUGUACUGUAUAUUAAUAAAGUUGAUUUCACCCUCAAC